Papaver somniferum (opium poppy) is the source of this 1020-nucleotide long non-coding RNA. RefSeq lists it as uncharacterized. NCBI's taxonomy places the organism in Eukaryota, Viridiplantae, Streptophyta, Magnoliopsida, Ranunculales, Papaveraceae. The transcript is spliced from 3 exons. The record is from RefSeq and is a predicted model, not a curated record.
CCAACAACUCCGUCAUUCUCAAUCGUCUCCACCGCCACUAUCUUCAUCGCUCACCGUCACCAUUAUCUUUGUCGCCGCCGACACAACCAGCAUGACCACCUCCGUCGCGUCCACCAAGAUUAUAAGCAGAUCUAUUACGAUUAUGCUUUCAAUUUCAAAUGAUUUUAAACCAGGUACAAAGAUUAUUUUUUUUUUGGAUUUCGAUUUGAUAGUUUCGAGCGGAUUACGAGUUAAAGAUUCAUAUCCAGUGAGUUUGAUCUCGAGCUUUGUUCAUUCUGAAACUUAAACUGGAGAUGUCUUGUGAUUGCACUUAGUUGAGGCUACCAAAGUUCAGGUUGGUGCUGAUGAAUUCAAUGUUGACAUGCAGGAGAGGUAAUGAUACUGAUUUUACAAAGUAAGUAUACGAAUAUGUUUAAUAGGAACAGUAAUGGGUAUAAAAGAUUUGUGAAAAAUGAAUGAUUUUUGUUGGGGUCAAGUUUUUCGUUACCAACUCGAAAUGAUUAUGGUAGUAUGCUUUUUUACUACGAUGCAUUUAUCCAAAUAUGCUGUUAAUGCCUGCAUAAGCACACUAUCAAAAUUUAAUCCAUUGGUUGGCCAACAACGAGACAAUUAUUAGGCUGAUUUGGUUGUUCUAAACACCGUUGCGGCUAGGAGGAAGCAUAAGAUGAUGUUGGUGGUUACUGCAAUAAAGGUGGAGGUGCUGGCAGUGACUGAAAUGUGCAGUAUAGAAGUAAAAAUGGAGUUGUUGGUGUUGUUUUCCAUGAAUAUGGAAUUGCAAGUCUGGAUUGUUGUUUAUGAAGCUACAGGUGAUGAUCAAUUGUUGUUGUUUAUAUGUUUUUAUGGGAUCAACUCUUAUUGUUGACCCAAUUUUUUAUGGGAUCAACUACGGCUGUUGAUCCAUUUAUGGGAUGAACUCUUGUUAUUGAUCCAAUUUUAUAUGGGAUCAACUAUUGUUUACCCAUUUUUUUAUGGGAUCAACUACUGUUGUUGAUCCUUUCAACUCCUAUUGUUGACAAUAUU